GCGUGCGCAGUGUCCGUGUAGGAGCUUCCGGUGGAGGACCUUGUUUUGGCUCCACGAAGUUGGGCUGGCGACGUGGGCGCUCUUGGCUUCGGGCGGGCGGUCUCUCGGGGUCCACAUGAGCCAAUGGCAUCGUGCCCACAGCCGCUGGGGCCGGGGACGCGCCUCUUCUGGACGUUCGUCGGCCAAGAAGAAGGGCGGGAACCACAUCCCCGAAAGGUGGCAAGACUAUCUCCCUGUUGGACGGAGGAUGCCUGGGACUCCAACGUUGCUUUCAAACUUCCUUUAAAAAAGAGGUGAGACACCAUGGGCUCUGUGAAUCUACAAAGAUUGGGAAACUCCAAGUUCGGAGGUUGUCCCAGUAAUCCAGGCAGGAAAUGAUGGAGACUUGGACUAUAGUGGAAGUGGAGGAAAAUGGUCAGAAGUGGACAAGUCCUUGAUACAAUGUGAAGGUAAGGCAGAUGGAAUUUGCUGAUGAUCUGGAUGAAUUGAUGGAGAGUGUAAGAAAGGAGUCAUAUGAUUUCAAAGAUUUCCGGACUGAGCAACUUGGGAAAUGGCAUUACCAUGAAUUGAGAUGAAGAAAACUGCAUGGAUCAGUUGUUUGUUUUGUUUGUGUAUAUGUUUGGCUGGGGAGGAGGGCAGAUGGGAGAUGCAGUUUUGUACAUGUCUAAAAAAGAAGAUAAAAGAAGAAGAGAGGGAAUGAAAAGGUACACAUUCCUGACCAGUGGCUGCCUACAGACUCUCCCCCUGCCCACAGGUUCAUUCCCCUCUCAUGGUGGCCAAAUGUCCCUCUACCCAUGAGCUUUUCAGGUAGCUGUGUUUUGCCUUCUUAUUCAAACCAUGAUCCGAGCAAAUACAAGCAUGAGGUGCCACCUUAGACAGAAGAGACUCAGAAAGCCUUGUCUGACCCAGAGUUCUACGAGGGUAGGGCAGAUGGGCUCUGCAGCUCUGCUUUGGGGGACUGAUAAUUUCAGGGCUGUCAGAUUUAAAAUAAUCAUGUCAAAGGAUGAGCAGAUUUUAAGGAAGAUAGAGGCAGUGGCAUUGCUUUUUAAUUUCCCCAAACCCUCUGAUGGCAUUAGAUAAAUCCAAACUAAACGCCCAUGGGUAGCAUUUACCAGGAAAGUAGAAGCCCCAAAGUAAGAGGGUGGAGCAGACAACCACCAGCGGGCACAGACCUGCCUGGUCUCAGCAUCGCACCAGAGGGAGUGUCCGACAGGAGGAAGCAUCUGAUGGGCGUGAGCACAGGAGGCCUUCACAGUGCCAGCAGUCAUCACCUGAGAGCACUGCGGGCCAAGCUGAGAACAGCAGCUGAGACUGGGAGGGGCUUUUUCCAGUCCCAACGUCAGUAAAUACUUUGGGGAGAUUCAAAAACUGGCCUGCUCCCUCCAUCUUUAUGAAGUCCUGCUCUGACAUUUGACAUCAUUAUAUUAAUUUUAGAUGGUAGUGAUGGUUGCACAAUAUAAUGAAUGUACUUACUGUGACUGAAUUGUAUGGUUAAAAUGGUAAAUUGUGUGUUAGUGUUAUACAUAUUUUACUGUUGUAAGGAAAGAUGAAAGAACUACAUAAAUCAGCACUAGGUAAAAUGAUAGAACUCAACAGAAUCAACAAUAAAAAAUUUUCGGGCCCUGA
Myotis myotis is the source of this 1626-nucleotide long non-coding RNA. RefSeq lists it as uncharacterized. The record is from RefSeq and is a predicted model, not a curated record. NCBI's taxonomy places the organism in Eukaryota, Metazoa, Chordata, Mammalia, Chiroptera, Vespertilionidae. The transcript has 3 exons.